GAUGAACGCUAGCUACAGGCUUAACACAUGCAAGUCGAGGGGCAGCAUUUCAGUUUGCUUGCAAACUGGAGAUGGCGACCGGCGCACGGGUGAGUAACACGUAUCCAACCUGCCGAUAACUCGGGGAUAGCCUUUCGAAAGAAAGAUUAAUACCCGAUGGUAUAAUCAGACCGCAUGGUCUUGUUAUUAAAGAAUUUCGGUUAUCGAUGGGGAUGCGUUCCAUUAGGCAGUUGGUGAGGUAACGGCUCACCAAACCUUCGAUGGAUAGGGGUUCUGAGAGGAAGGUCCCCCACAUUGGAACUGAGACACGGUCCAAACUCCUACGGGAGGCAGCAGUGAGGAAUAUUGGUCAAUGGGCGCAGGCCUGAACCAGCCAAGUAGCGUGAAGGAUGACUGCCCUAUGGGUUGUAAACUUCUUUUAUAUGGGAAUAAAGUUUUCCACGUGUGGAAUUUUGUAUGUACCAUAUGAAUAAGGAUCGGCUAACUCCGUGCCAGCAGCCGCGGUAAUACGGAGGAUCCGAGCGUUAUCCGGAUUUAUUGGGUUUAAAGGGAGCGUAGGUGGACAGUUAAGUCAGUUGUGAAAGUUUGCGGCUCAACCGUAAAAUUGCAGUUGAUACUGGCUGUCUUGAGUACAGUAGAGGUGGGCGGAAUUCGUGGUGUAGCGGUGAAAUGCUUAGAUAUCACGAAGAACUCCGAUUGCGAAGGCAGCUCACUGGACUGCAACUGACACUGAUGCUCGAAAGUGUGGGUAUCAAACAGGAUUAGAUACCCUGGUAGUCCACACAGUAAACGAUGAAUACUCGCUGUUUGCGAUAUACAGUAAGCGGCCAAGCGAAAGCAUUAAGUAUUCCACCUGGGGAGUACGCCGGCAACGGUGAAACUCAAAGGAAUUGGCGGGGGCCCGCACAAGCGGAGGAACAUGUGGUUUAAUUCGAUGAUACGCGAGGAACCUUACCCGGGCUUAAAUUGCAUUUGAAUAUAUUGGAAACAGUAUAGCCGUAAGGCAAAUGUGAAGGUGCUGCAUGGUUGUCGUCAGCUCGUGCCGUGAGGUGUCGGCUUAAGUGCCAUAACGAGCGCAACCCUUAUCUUUAGUUACUAACAGGUCAUGCUGAGGACUCUAGAGAGACUGCCGUCGUAAGAUGUGAGGAAGGUGGGGAUGACGUCAAAUCAGCACGGCCCUUACGUCCGGGGCUACACACGUGUUACAAUGGGGGGUACAGAAGGCAGCUACCUGGUGACAGGAUGCUAAUCCCAAAAGCCUCUCUCAGUUCGGAUCGAAGUCUGCAACCCGACUUCGUGAAGCUGGAUUCGCUAGUAAUCGCGCAUCAGCCAUGGCGCGGUGAAUACGUUCCCGGGCCU
This 1359-nucleotide ribosomal RNA is filed under the name uncultured bacterium. RNAcentral's name for it is "bacterial SSU rRNA". It matches the Rfam family "Bacterial small subunit ribosomal RNA", at positions 28 to 1381 of the family's 1533-position model. The record is from RNAcentral.